This 24-nucleotide microRNA is filed under the name Oryza sativa (Asian cultivated rice). Its description in RNAcentral is "osa-miR1871". The record is from miRBase by way of RNAcentral. RNAcentral also lists the same sequence under 1 other name. Lineage: Eukaryota; Viridiplantae; Streptophyta; Magnoliopsida; Poales; Poaceae.
AUGGCUCUGAUAUCAUGUUGGUUU